Molecule: long non-coding RNA, 679 nt
Organism: Poecilia latipinna (sailfin molly)
Lineage: Eukaryota; Metazoa; Chordata; Actinopteri; Cyprinodontiformes; Poeciliidae
Exons: 2
Source: RefSeq, a predicted model, not a curated record
GCGGCUUUUUGGGGGCUUUAUCAUAUUUAAAAACUCACCAAACUUGGCAGUCCCAUACAUCCUGUGAAAAAAUUUUAUAUUUUAAGGUCGACGCAAAAAUCGCAAAAAAAAUGGCUCAACGGCGCCCCCUAGAAUUUUUCAAAAGACCCUUUCCUAUUCACUUAGUUUAUCGUAGAGACAUGAAAUUUGGUACACUGGUAGAGCUCCCCAAGAUGCUCAGAAUUUACAAUUAAUGUCAUAGUGCAAGUAUGACAGGAAGUCGGCCAUUUUGGAUUGAAGUUGUGAAUUUGAGCCCAUUUUGGUCGUUUACAGGGUUCGCAUUUGAUCGAACUUGUCCUAGGGAUUUUGAUGGAUCGGCUUCAAACUUGGUCUGUUGGUUCAUAAGGCAUGCCCGAUUCAAAGUUAUCAAAACGGUGAGUUUUCGUGCAUGCUGAAGGGGUGAUACCAGGGGUCAAAGUUCACCGACUCACCAAGAAAUAUAAAACUUUUAUAUCUCCUACACAAAAAGUCAGAGAGACACCAAACUUUCUGUGUUUGAUCAUCUUUGAGUGCUCUACAAGAUGGUAUAGUGAAAUUUUGACAUCUCUUAAGCCACGCCCCCUUAGAACAGGAAGUGUCACGUUUUACUGUGAUUGGUUGCUAUCUGACCGCUUUGACCUAAUCAACAUGAAACUCGGUC